Molecule: ribosomal RNA, 320 nt
Filed under: uncultured bacterium
Lineage: Bacteria
Description: bacterial SSU rRNA
Rfam family: Bacterial small subunit ribosomal RNA
Source: RNAcentral
UUCGGGGUGAGUGGCAGACGGGUGAGUAACGCGUGGGAACGUGCCCUUCAGUUCGGGAUAACCCAGGGAAACUUGGGCUAAUACCGGAUACGUGCAAGAGCAGAAAGAUUGAUCGCUGAAGGAUCGGCCCGCGUCUGAUUAGCUAGUUGGUGGGGUAAUGGCCCACCAAGGCGACGAUCAGUAGCUGGUCUGAGAGGAUGAUCAGCCACAUUGGGACUGAGACACGGCCCAAACUCCUACGGGAGGCAGCAGUGGGGAAUAUUGGACAAUGGGCGCAAGCCUGAUCCAGCCAUGCCGCGUGAGUGAUGAAGGCCUUAGGG